RNAcentral lists this ribosomal RNA (424 nucleotides) under Neonectria sp. nc_cynh_28_3c. Its description in RNAcentral is "eukaryotic LSU rRNA". The stretch from base 45 to 198 matches the Rfam family "5.8S ribosomal RNA". Lineage: Eukaryota; Fungi; Ascomycota; Sordariomycetes; Hypocreales; Nectriaceae. The record is from RNAcentral.
ACUUCCUUGAGUGAGUCUUCUGAGUAACCGAUUAAAUCAAUCAAAACUUUCAACAACGGAUCUCUUGGUUCUGGCAUCGAUGAAGAACGCAGCGAAAUGCGAUAAGUAAUGUGAAUUGCAGAAUUCAGUGAAUCAUCGAAUCUUUGAACGCACAUUGCGCCCGCCAGUAUUCUGGCGGGCAUGCCUGUUCGAGCGUCAUUACAUCCCUCAAGCCCCCGGGCUUGGUGUUGGGGAUCGGCGAGCCUUAGCGCCCGCCGUCCCCUAAAUUUAGUGGCGGUCACGCUGUAACUUCCUCUGCGUAGUAGCACACUUAGCACUGGGAAACAGCGCGGCCACGCCGUAAAACCCCCCAACUUUUGAACGUUUGACCUCGAAUCAGGUAGGACUACCCGCUGAACUUAAGCAUAUCAAUAAGCGGAGGAAC